This 251-nucleotide long non-coding RNA is filed under the name Elaeis guineensis (African oil palm). RNAcentral's name for it is "long non-coding RNA (EGUI_LNC071148)". Lineage: Eukaryota; Viridiplantae; Streptophyta; Magnoliopsida; Arecales; Arecaceae. The record is from RNAcentral.
UGGAUAACAUUUUAUCCAUUACUUCGUUAAGCAAGAUGCAUGGGCUUAGUCUUUAAGUCCUGUGGCCUUAUCUAACAGUUAUUGGCACAUUUCUUAGUUAAGUCAGAUCCAUUGUUCAUUAGCGAGCAUAAAGUCAUCAUUGGGAUCUUCACCUAACAGUUAUUGGGUCCAACCUCAUCUUUAUCUUGAGACAUUAAAUGUCAAUAGAGUGGUUGUACUUUUUCGAUGCAAUCGAACCACUGUAACCAGCC